UACGUAGGGGGCAAGCGUUGUCCGGAUUCAUUGGGCGUAAAGAGCGUGUAGGCGGUUAGGUAGGUCCGUUGUGAAAACUCGAGGCUCAACCUCGAGACGCCGAUGGAAACCAUCUGACUAGAGUCCGGAAGAGGAGAGUGGAAUUCCUGGUGUAGCGGUGAAAUGCGCAGAUAUCAGGAAGAACACCCGUGGCUAAGGCGGCUCUCUAGUACGUGACUGACGCUGAGACGCGAAAGCGUGGGGAGCGAACAGG
RNAcentral lists this ribosomal RNA (253 nucleotides) under uncultured bacterium. RNAcentral describes it as "partial 16S ribosomal RNA". It matches the Rfam family "Bacterial small subunit ribosomal RNA", at positions 524 to 776 of the family's 1533-position model. The record is from RNAcentral.